CCUCCAAUUCUUGUCACACACGUGGUCGCUCAGUACUCGUGGGUGAAAUGCACGGAGGAAGAAUAAAUGCAGCGCUAUGUCUUCGGUGCCGGUGUGUAUUUGAGUCUGCCGGUUCUAUCCUCAAUCGCUGUAACACUG
This is a small nucleolar RNA of Gasterosteus aculeatus aculeatus (three-spined stickleback), 138 nucleotides long. Lineage: Eukaryota; Metazoa; Chordata; Actinopteri; Perciformes; Gasterosteidae. The record is from Ensembl.